AUUGAACGCUGGCGGCAGGCCUAACACAUGCAAGUCGAGCGGAUGCAGGGCGCUUGCUCCUGGCUUCAGCGGAGGGCGGGUGUAUAAUGCCUAGGAAUCUGCCUGGUAGUGGGGUAUAACGUCCGGAGACGGGCGCUAAUACCGCAUACGUCCUGAGUGAGAACGUGGGGGAUCUUCGGACCUCUCGCUCUCAGAUGAGCCUAGGUCGGAUUAGCUAGUUGGUGGGGUAAAGGCCUACCAAGGCGACGAUCCGUAACUGGUCUGAGAGGAUGAUCAGUCACACUGGAACUGAGACACGGUCCAGACUCCUACGGGAGGCAGCAGUGGGGAAUAUUGGACAAUGGGCGAAAGCCUGAUCCAGCCAUGCCGCGUGUGUGAAGAAGGUCUUCGGAUUGUAAAGCACUUUAAGUUGGGAGGAAGGGGAGUAAGUUAAUACCUUGCUGUGUUGACGUUACCAAAAGAAUAAGCACCGGCUAACUUCGUG
RNAcentral lists this ribosomal RNA (484 nucleotides) under uncultured bacterium. Its description in RNAcentral is "partial 16S ribosomal RNA". It matches the Rfam family "Bacterial small subunit ribosomal RNA", at positions 30 to 507 of the family's 1533-position model. The record is from RNAcentral.